UAUUGAUACACAACAUAAGGCGUUCGCGGUAGGCUACAAAUAAAUACGUUGCCAGGUAGAUUUAAAUGAAGAAUAGGGGACGAAACGGUUUUCGAGCGUUUUCAGAGUUAAGCGUUAACUACAGAGUUUUAAAACGUCUGCGUUGGCCGCUGUGUCCAAAAUUCAACACGUCAACUUGAGUCUACAGUUAAAUACUACAUAUAUCUGCCGUUUAUAUGGACACGGACAGUCAACAAAUUUAAGCGGCCUUAAGUUCGAUUAUUUUCUUUUAAACUGAAAACGGAGCAAAUUGACAAGCAGCAUUAUGCAAUAACUGUAUUAGGACUCAACAAAGACAGAACAAUCAUUCGUGUCGUGUAAUCGAACAAAAUAUGCUAAAUGCAUCAUACUAAACAAGUCUGACCAUGUAAGGUACAACAUUUCAGUGAUCAAACGUGCUAUGAAUCCACUGGAUGCAAUGUACAAAAUGAAAAGUAUGUGUUAUGGAUGUGUCAGCACCUCUCUGUAUGGAUGUGCAAUUAUCAUAAGCUUUAAGUGCACUAAUUUGAUUACUAAUUGAGAUGAUUCAGGUAAGGUGAAAAAUAUUAAUAUUAUUUCAGUUGUUAGUUAACACAUGGCUUGAAAAUGAAGCUUUGUCGGAAUUUAACCUUUGGAGGACUGACUUGCAGGCAAAAAAAGAAGAAGAAACAAACUUGGGAAGCAGUUUUGUGUAUUGUCGUACCAAUUAUGCCUCCCCCAGCGGGCCUCCUCACCAGAGUUGGCACUCGAAUUGGUCAUGAUUCAGUGAAGAACUUUAAAAGGAAUUAAUUCAUCGUUUGCCUACAACUUGAAUUAUAAUAGCCUAAUGGACUGAAGUCAUGAAGCAACCUUUGACGAACAUGCAACCGUUUUCGUUAUUUUAUAAACGAAGUGAGUGAAACCAGUGGCGGCUGCUCAUGGGAGUCAAGUAGUCAGACCUCCACUAAAAUGAAUCAGUUAUUUUCUUUGUCGAAGUGUUCAGUUGUGUGUGUGAAAUUUGGCAAAAUAGCGCCAUCUAACGAACAUCUUAGAAUACACUCCAAGCUGGCGCAUGAAUUUAGAAAUGAUUAGAAAAAUCAAUUUUAAUGAGUCAUUUUGAUGCUUUUAAAAAUGAUUUUAUUGACUUUGUCACAAGAAUUUAGCUUCGCCGGGAAGUGUAAUUGUACAGUCUUAUCGGGCGGUAACAGAAGGGUCUUAUAGUGACCAAUGAAUCAUAGCCCAAGGUCAGGUACAGGUACAGAGACAUCCAAUCAUAACCUCUUAUGAGUAAGUUACAUCUAAGAGCCUGUGUGCGUUGUCCAUGCCGGUGGAGGCAUGAAUUGCAGAUGUGAAGCACCUCAUGGACCUGGCUCAUAACUUGCUGACUGACUGACUGACUGACUGACAGACUCACGUUUAUCAGGCUAAAGAUUCAAGGGGGAUUAUUAGUGCUCAGCCUCCUUCCUCCUCCUCUCUCUGAAGACUUCAGGUCCUGGGGCUGGCCAGAUCUUGUCUUGCCCACCCUGCGCCCCUUGUCCGGUUCCCGAACCACUGGCCAAACCACCCCGUGAAGGAGCUGCACUGCACGGAGGUUUAAAAAUAGCCGGAUUCUGCUUCCGAGCGGGCUGGGUGACCGGAGCAGUCUGCAGCCAAGCAGGAAGAGGGAACUUUAUUCAGCAUGGCUGCGCGCAGACAGAGUGCAGAGCAGCUUCGCUACAUCGCAGCGGCGUCGCGCAGAGGCUGGGAGCCCGGCUGCACGUCAUCGCUGAGCUGAGCCACGGCGCACCGCGGCGAUACAAAAACGCAGCGCUAGCGCCGCCCGCCGCCUCGCAGGAGCUCCCGCCACCGUGAGAAAUGCAGCCACACGUUCAGAAGAGAUCGCACACGCCCCGUCAAACACGCGCGCAGCAGCAGCACCGCCGCACGCCUCGUACAGCCUGCCGCACAAACGCCUCCCUCACGCGCGCACACUUACUCUGCAUUAUGCAUUCAUACUCUCAGUCACAAUAAUGGCUGGAGACUCAGCCGCAUGCAUAAAUGCAUACAGUGGCAGUACUGGUGGGUAAUGCAGACUAAUGGCUGGAGGGGGACCAGAGAUGAAGCUCAGCAUCUUCUGCCUGCUUCUGCACACGCUGGAGGACAGAGGGAGAGAGAGAGUCAGAAAGAGAGAAUGAGAGAGAGAGAGAGAGAGCAAGGCAGGGAAUGAGAGAGAGAGAAUGAGUGUUGAGAGAGAGAGACAGAGAGUCAGAAUGAGAGAGAGAGGAGGAAUGUAUGGACUGUUCAAGUUGGUGAAGUGCCAACAGGGGUGUGUAUGUAUGUGGAUGGAGUCAGCCAGCACCCCAGAGUAUCUAGUUGCCCAAGGAACUGCAGUGCUAUGUAUAUAUGAGAAUGUGCUGUCUUUUCGAGUUGUAUAUAUGUGCAUGUAAUUGCUGUGUUUUUACAGUUUGAUGUCUGUCAAAUACAUAACAACAAAACCUUAAA
This is a long non-coding RNA of Anguilla rostrata (American eel), 2478 nucleotides long. RefSeq lists it as uncharacterized. The record is from RefSeq and is a predicted model, not a curated record. Lineage: Eukaryota; Metazoa; Chordata; Actinopteri; Anguilliformes; Anguillidae. The transcript has 3 exons.